CACGCCGUAAACGAUGAGCACUAGGUGUCGGGAUCGCAAGAUUUCGGUGCCGAAGUUAACGCAUUAAGUGCUCCGCCUGGGGAGUACGCACGCAAGUGUAAAACUCAAAGGAAUUGACGG
RNAcentral lists this ribosomal RNA (120 nucleotides) under uncultured bacterium. RNAcentral describes it as "partial 16S ribosomal RNA". It matches the Rfam family "Bacterial small subunit ribosomal RNA", at positions 796 to 916 of the family's 1533-position model. The record is from RNAcentral.